CCUGUCUCAAGGCAGUUACUAGUUGUGGGACCCACAACUAAUCCACGGCAUCCUGCACUCUCAGUUCUCGGAUUCUGGCAGGCUGGCAGGCAUCAUUCUGGGUAAGCCUUCUGGGGUUGGGCGGGGGACAAAGCCCCUCCCAGCACACCAGGCCCCUAGGCUAGGUGGAGGGCGGGGCCCCUUGGUACGCGAGAAGACGGGGAAGGGCGCCCCCCACCCUCCCACCCCGCGCCCAUCUCCAGGCCCCGUCACCUGGCGAACCCACGGGGCAGCCGAGCUGGCCCCGGUCCAGCUGUGGAUGGAAGCGGCCGCAGACGCACAUGGCUACGGAAUUACAGCACAAACUGUGUGAGCUACAUGAAUCCAGAGCUGCAGUACAAGCCGGACCACUAGACUUUUCACUUCAUGACCUGAACCGAGGAGACAACGUAUAUAUAAAGAACUUCCAGCGUACAGGAGCAACCCAGCCUUCCUGGGAAGGACCAUUCCAAAUAUUGUUAACUACUCCAACAUCUAUAAAGGUUGGAGAAAAGGACUCUUGGAUUCAUUGCUCACAUGUAAAGAGAGCAUCUUCUAUUGAGACUGAUUGACUGUAUCCUAUAUAUGCAUUGGAAGUAACUACCCAUUGACAAGUGGAACUGUUUUAUUUUGUUUUUGAAACAUUGAAUUCCUGAUUUUUUUCUCUUCUCUUUACCUUAUUUUAUUUAUUAUUGCUUUUCUUUUGAAUAUUUGAAUUUGUUCCCCUUUUCUCAUUUCUAUGUACUUAAGGGUGUAUGGGGUGCUCAGGGAGGGGUUGUAUAUCUCUGGUAUGGAGGGCUUGUCGUUCCCUCUGAGGGCACCUCUCCAACCUCUGACCCUCACCUGACACCCAGCUCUCACUUGUGGCUCCCAGUAGUUGCUAGCAUGCGGCAGCAGCCACACACCGGGCAAUGGCUUCGACAGGCUAGCUAAACCUUGUGAGGGUAACCAUCGGGUUGUAGAACCCUGGUGAACCAGGGCUUUGCUCACCCAGCAUGUGAAGACUGCUUCGGCGGAACAGGCGGAAGAAACCAACAAGAAGGUUCAAUGGCUGAGAUGGUGACGCAGCAAAGCUCUGUGGAGUGUUUAGGGCGUGUUGGAGCACAAAAGACAACAUGGCCAUCCAAUGCAGCUGAGGAGGUCUCCAGGUGUAACAACUUUUCAUGCCACUGGACCCAGGCUUCCAACGCUGAUAGAGUGGGACUGUCUCUGUGCAUCGACUCUUCCACUUAAAUCUCCUUCAUGCACAAGUGUCUUUGUGCACGCUAAUCUAUAAUAGAUGAAAACGCACGAAGACAAUCGUCAUCCUCAGUUACCGAGAGACCACUACCAUGUACUUAAGGUACAUACAAUCAAUAUUAAUUUUUAUUCCACAAUAAUAUCAGUUUAAAUAUAUAUACUUGCUAUAUUAUUAAUACAUACCCAAACAGCUUUAGACUAUGGGAACCUGCCAUUUAUUGAUAAUUGUUGUGGGACUAUGAUUAAUGUUUGUGUCUGGUUCUAGGAAUGAAAAAAAAAAGGAGCGCAGAGAAAACCUGGAUAAUACCAAAAGAGCUCACUGGUCUAAAAAUC
This is a long non-coding RNA of Monodelphis domestica (gray short-tailed opossum), 1590 nucleotides long. The record is from Ensembl. Lineage: Eukaryota; Metazoa; Chordata; Mammalia; Didelphimorphia; Didelphidae.